CCACUGCUGAGGAGUCCCAUACUAAGACGAAACGGCCGUCCAGUGC
Molecule: non-coding RNA, 46 nt
Filed under: Schistosoma curassoni
Lineage: Eukaryota; Metazoa; Platyhelminthes; Trematoda; Strigeidida; Schistosomatidae
Source: RNAcentral